Molecule: ribosomal RNA, 139 nt
Filed under: Skeletonema menzelii
Lineage: Eukaryota; Bacillariophyta; Thalassiosirophyceae; Thalassiosirales; Thalassiosiraceae
Description: partial Bacterial large subunit ribosomal RNA
Source: RNAcentral
GGCGAUGGUACAUUCCCAUCAAAAUGGGCUGAAGGGACGCCGUGGGUACUUGACAAUUGGUACUUCAAGGGAUUCGGGAAGCCAUGGACUUACGAAAUACGCCCCAACUACGAAUUCCCAGAUAUCGGAGAGAAGAAAC